GUGCUCAGGUCGUCCAAUCGCAGCAGCAAGAAUAUCCUGGCGACCCUCUGGAGUGAAUUGGCCUUGGGAGUUCUGCUCAACCAAGGCGUCCUGUAACAUUACAAAACACCAUUAUUCUUUAAAUAGUUUAAUGUAGUAUGUAUAAUGACAAUACUUAUUAUUUUAGGAACAAUGAUAACUUACAAUUCUUUUAGAAAUUUCUCGUGCAGUGUCGGAAGAGUAGGUGCCUGAUGGUCGCAUACGAGCCAACUUCCAUUUCUCAUGUCUAGACNGUGGAGAAGGAGGCUGAGGAGGGCUACCACCCUGAGAUGGUGGUAUAGCAUCUGCCUUUUGCUUGAGGAUUUUCUCCUCAAGCUUCCUAUACCCACCACGAGAUAAUAGGUGGGGGUUUUUGUUGUGAGCACUUGUUCCUUGUGCUUUGCUUCUAAUUGNCUGUCACAUACACAUUAAUUAAUUAGUUCAUAUGAUAUAUAUUUG
This 477-nucleotide long non-coding RNA is filed under the name Vigna radiata. RNAcentral describes it as "long non-coding RNA (VRAD_LNC010552)". The record is from RNAcentral. Lineage: Eukaryota; Viridiplantae; Streptophyta; Magnoliopsida; Fabales; Fabaceae.